UCUCCCUUACGGAAGCAGUCUCGCGUGACACGUAUAACACACGAUAGGGGUUGCGCUCGUUAAUCCACUUAAGGAGACCUCUCACGAGACGAGCUGACGACAGCCGUGCAGCACCUGUCUAGAACCCUCGAAGGCUGUUCUAUUUCUAGGACAUGCAUCUAGAUUUCAAGCCCUGGUGAGGUUCCUCGGUUAGAGUCGAAUUAAACCGCAUGAUCCACUGCUUGUGCAAGUUCCCGCCUAUUUCUUUGAGUUUUAAUCUUGCGAUCGUACUUCCCAGGCGCCAUACUUAACGCGUUAGCUUCGCCACUGGAAGGGUCGAUGCUCCCAAUAGCUAGUAUGGAUCGUUUAGGGCGUGGACUA
RNAcentral lists this unclassified non-coding RNA (360 nucleotides) under uncultured bacterium. RNAcentral's name for it is "contains 16S-23S intergenic spacer region". The record is from RNAcentral.